GGGGGUGGAGGACCUGUAGAGCUAGAGGGCCUAUGAGAGGAUGAUGGUCCAAGAGAAGGUGAAGCUCCAAUAGAUGGUCCUUGAGAAGAUGAAGGUCCAUGAGAAGGUCCUUGUGGUAGAGGACGAAUACUAUGUGAACCAAUCUUGCAAAGCCUCUCAAUGUGACCCUUCUUUGGCUUGUAGAUGGGAUGGCCCUUAUCCGUUAGAAUCUCCAACUUGAUCACUUCCUUGAUCAUAGCAAAGAUAUAUGGAGCAUAGUG
RNAcentral lists this long non-coding RNA (260 nucleotides) under Setaria viridis. RNAcentral's name for it is "long non-coding RNA (SVIR_LNC004869)". The record is from RNAcentral. Lineage: Eukaryota; Viridiplantae; Streptophyta; Magnoliopsida; Poales; Poaceae.